CUUCCAGUAGCACCUUAGAGACCAACUAAGUUUGUUAUUGGUAUGAGCUUUCUUGUGCCUGCUCAUACCAAUAACAAACUUAGUUGGUCUCUAAGGUGCUACUGGAGG
Molecule: microRNA precursor, 108 nt
Filed under: Podarcis lilfordi (Lilford's wall lizard)
Lineage: Eukaryota; Metazoa; Chordata; Lepidosauria; Squamata; Lacertidae
Source: RNAcentral